AACGCGUAUGCAAUCUACCUUUUACAGGGGAAUAGCCCAGAGAAAUUUGGAUUAAUGCCCCAUAGUAUAUAACAUCCGCAUGUUUGUUAUAUUAAAGUUCCAACGGUAAAAGAUGAGCAUGCGUCCCAUUAGUUAGUUGGUAAGGUAACGGCUUACCAAGACGAUGAUGGGUAGGGGUCCUGAGAGGGAGAUCCCCCACACUGGUACUGAGACACGGACCAGACUCCUACGGGAGGCAGCAGUGAGGAAUAUUGGACAAUGGGCGCAAGCCUGAUCCAGCCAUGCCGCGUGCAGGAAGACGGUCCUAUGGAUUGUAAACUGCUUUUAUACGGGAAGAAACACCCCUACGUGUAGGGACUUGACGGUACCGUAAGAAUAAGGAUCGGCUAACUCCGUGCCAGCAGCCGCGGUAAUACGGAGGAUCCAAGCGUUAUCCGGAAUCAUUGGGUUUAAAGGGUCCGUAGGCGGUUUGGUAAGUCAGUGGUGAAAGCCCAUCGCUCAACGAUGGAACGGCCAUUGAUACUGCCAGACUUGAAUUACUGGGAAGUAACUAGAAUAUGUAGUGUAGCGGUGAAAUGCUUAGAUAUUACAUGG
This 594-nucleotide ribosomal RNA is filed under the name uncultured bacterium. RNAcentral describes it as "bacterial SSU rRNA". It matches the Rfam family "Bacterial small subunit ribosomal RNA", at positions 112 to 704 of the family's 1533-position model. The record is from RNAcentral.